AUUGAACGCUGGCGGAAUGCUUUACACAUGCAAGUCGAACGGCAGCACGGACUUCGGUCUGGUGGCGAGUGGCGAACGGGUGAGUAACAUAUCGGAACGUAUCCAAUAAUGGGGGAUAACGAGUCGAAAGAUUCGCUAAUACCGCAUACGCCCUACGGGGGAAAGCUGGGGACCUUCGGGCCUGGCGUUAAUGGAGCGGCCGAUAUCUGAUUAGCUAGUUGGUGAGGUAAAGGCUCACCAAGGCGACGAUCAGUAGCUGGUCUGAGAGGACGAACAGCCACACUGGAACUGAGACACGGUCCAGACUCCUACGGGAGGCAGCAGUUGGGAAUUUUGGACAAUGGGCGCAAGCCUGAUCCAGCCAUUCCGCGUGAGUGAAGAAGGCCUUCGGGUUGUAAAGCUCUUUCGCAAGGGAAGAAAACUUAGCCACUAACAUUGGUUGAGGUUGACGGUACCUUGAUAAGAAGCACCGGCUAACUACGUGCCAGCAGCCGCGGUAA
This 500-nucleotide ribosomal RNA is filed under the name uncultured bacterium. RNAcentral's name for it is "partial 16S ribosomal RNA". It matches the Rfam family "Bacterial small subunit ribosomal RNA", at positions 30 to 523 of the family's 1533-position model. The record is from RNAcentral.